This 464-nucleotide ribosomal RNA is filed under the name uncultured bacterium. Its description in RNAcentral is "bacterial SSU rRNA". It matches the Rfam family "Bacterial small subunit ribosomal RNA", at positions 355 to 822 of the family's 1533-position model. The record is from RNAcentral.
UGGGGAAUAUUGGACAAUGGGCGAAAGCCUGAUCCAGCCAUGCCGCGUGCAGGAAGAAGGCGUUAUGCGUUGUAAACUGCUUUUUGCCAGGGGAUAAAAUGACCGUGCGCGGUUAAUUGAAGGUACCUGGUGAAUAAGCCACGGCUAACUACGUGCCAGCAGCCGCGGUAAUACGUAGGUGGCAAGCGUUGUCCGGAUUUAUUGGGUUUAAAGGGUGCGUAGGUGGCCCUGUAAGUCAGUGGUGAAAUAUCUCAGCUUAACUGAGAGGGUGCCAUUGAUACUGCAGGGCUUGAGUACAGAUGAGGUAGGCGGAAUUGACGGUGUAGCGGUGAAAUGCAUAGAUAUCGUCAAGAACACCGAUAGCGAAGGCAGCUUACCAAGCUGUAACUGACACUGAGGCACGAAAGUGUGGGGAUCAAACAGGAUUAGAUACCCUUGUAGUCCCUGAGCGGGCUGGCAAGGCG